UACGUAGGGUGCAAGCGUUAAUCGGAAUUACUGGGCGUAAAGCGUGUGCAGGCGGUUGUGCAAGACAGAUGUGAAAUCCCCGGGCUUAACCUGGGAACUGCAUUUGUGACUGCACGGCUAGAGUGUGUCAGAGGGGGGUAGAAUUCCACGUGUAGCAGUGAAAUGCGUAGAUAUGUGGAGGAAUACCGAUGGCGAAGGCAGCCCCCUGGGAUAACACUGACGCUCAUGCACGAAAGCGUGGGGAGCAAACAGG
Molecule: ribosomal RNA, 253 nt
Filed under: uncultured bacterium
Lineage: Bacteria
Description: partial 16S ribosomal RNA
Rfam family: Bacterial small subunit ribosomal RNA
Source: RNAcentral